This 253-nucleotide ribosomal RNA is filed under the name uncultured bacterium. RNAcentral's name for it is "partial 16S ribosomal RNA". It matches the Rfam family "Bacterial small subunit ribosomal RNA", at positions 524 to 776 of the family's 1533-position model. The record is from RNAcentral.
UACGAAGGGGGCUAGCGUUGCUCGGAAUCACUGGGCGUAAAGCGCACGUAGGCGGGUUUUUAAGUCAGGGGUGAAAUCCUGGAGCUCAACUCCAGAACUGCCUUUGAUACUGAAGAUCUUGAGUCCGGGAGAGGUGAGUGGAACUGCGAGUGUAGAGGUGAAAUUCGUAGAUAUUCGCAAGAACACCAGUGGCGAAGGCGGCUCACUGGCCCGGUACUGACGCUGAGGCACAAAAGCGUGGGGAGCAAACAGG